GGGCCCGCACAAGCAGUGGAUUAUGUGGUUUAAUUCGAAGCAACGCGAAGAACCUUACCAGGGCUUGACAUCCAACUAACGAAGCAGAGAUGCAUUAGGUGCCCUUCGGGGAAAGUUGAGACAGGUGGUGCAUGGUUGUCGUCAGCUCGUGUCGUGAGAUGUUGGGUUAAGUCCCGCAACGAGCGCAACCCUUAUUGCUAGUUGCUACGCAAGAGCACUCUAGCGAGACUGCCGUUGACAAAACGGAGGAAGGUGGGGAUGACGUCAAAUCAUCAUGCCCCUUAUGUCCUGGGCUACACACGUAAUACAAUGGCGUCCAACAGAGGGAUGCGAAGCCGCGAGGUGGAGCAAAUCCCCAAAAGACGUCUCAGUUCGGAUUGUAGGCUGCAACUCGCCUAUAUGAAGUCGGAAUUGCUAGUAAUCGCGGAUCAGCAUGCCGCGGUGAAUACGUUCCCGGGCCUU
Molecule: ribosomal RNA, 462 nt
Filed under: uncultured bacterium
Lineage: Bacteria
Description: bacterial SSU rRNA
Rfam family: Bacterial small subunit ribosomal RNA
Source: RNAcentral